GCCACGGUGGUCUAGCGGCCAGAACACUAGCCUUGUAAUCCUGGGGUCUCGGGUUCGAUUCCCGGCGGUGCCC
Zootermopsis nevadensis is the source of this 73-nucleotide non-coding RNA. NCBI's taxonomy places the organism in Eukaryota, Metazoa, Arthropoda, Insecta, Blattodea, Termopsidae. The record is from Rfam.